GAAGAUGUCUAAACUGGAUGAUUUGGAGGUUUUUUUAAAGCUUAAAAACACAGUCAAACUUUGACCCUGCUGCUGCUCCAUUUCAAAGUUCCCUUUAUGGAUUCAACACACUCCAAUCAGUCACCACAGCUGCUGCAAACAAAGAAAAGCUUUCAGGCCCCACAUGAGACGUGAUUGACUGCUUUGCACGGCCCUUCUCCUCCGCUGCAGCAGUGCAUCGUGGGAAACGGCGGAGAAUCUUCAAUAACGGGUAAUCACGGCUGAGCAAACAACAUCAAACCCUAACACCCAGGCGCCGGAACAUCCUGAGCAGUCGUCCCUUCAGUCUCACACACUGCAGUACGUGCAGAGUGGUGGCUAGCUGGAUCCCAAGCUCGUGUCUGGGAGGAGAACAAAUCGACUCCUUCAUGGCCCGGUGAACCAUCGACUCGAUAACCAGCGGAGUCUUUCUGAUAGAAAAGAUGCAUGGUGCUUUAAACCAUCGCAGGCUUCUGCUCUCUUGCACCCCCCUGUCCUCCUCCCUUUCCAUUACCCUGGGCUUGAAACCGCUGCUCCAUGACACUGGGCAUCACACAGAGAAUAAAAAUGAGGUGAGGCGGCUGGAAAAUGUAACGUGUCGUCGAGCCGCAAUCGCUGUUUCUUAGUGAUUUAGGAACCCCGGGCCGCAGUCGAUUAGGGUCAUUCAUACCGGGUAAUGUAAAUACAGAGAUGGUGGGGUUGCUCAUGUGAAGAAGGGGAAUGUUUGCUGAGGUUAUUGGUAAUGGGAGAGUUACAGUGUGGUUUAUUUUAAAUGGUGGUCAAUGGGUUUUUCUGCAUAUAGACUGGCAGGGUUAUUACAGCGUAGCAUUUUGAAAUAUAACCAUAAACUCGAAGGAAAAAGAGUUCACGUCUGACAUUUGUUUUAUGACUUUAUGCCAAGUUGUGCUGCAGUGCGUAUAUUUCUCGAAGCUGUGUGUGUGUGUGUGUGUACAUUCACUCUAGUACUGCACACAUUUGAGGUUUUGCUUCUACUCCACUAACUUUAUCUGACAGCUUUAGUUACUUUAAAGUUUCAGAUUAUUAGCAAACACCACUUGGAAGUCGAGUAAUAAAUAGGUAAGGGAUAAUGUGCAGCGAGGCGGCCAUUUGUCUUUUCUAAAUUGCUAAGGUGAGUUUAGCAGAACAGGUGAAAUGAGGAGGCUUGUGCACCAAUCACCUUUAAACAGUAUGUUUGUUGCCACUGCCCGUGCAUUCCCUACCAGAGAUUAGCUCGUUUACUCCUAUACAUUUUGACUUUUACUGGGCUACAAUUUUAUCUCUUGGAUUGUCCUUCAAAUGAACCCUGUCUGAUAUUUAUACCUUGUUUGAUGACUUGACUUGGGCUCGGAUAUAAGAAACUACUACAAGUGAUUACAUUUGAGGUGAACUAAGGACCUAAAUACUCCUGAAAAGUUCCUUAAGUCUGAAUUUUAAAGCAUUGAUGUGAUCGUGUGACAACCUGCUCCGUAUAAGUUGUGACGCUGCUAUUGAAAGUCAAGUACAUACAAUAAAAAUAAGUGUAUUAAUCAAUCAAAAUCAUGGGGAAGUUGGAUUUCAUGCUAUUUUUAAGAAUGGAAUAAAUGUAAUGAUAAAAUAAUAAUAUUGAUCUGAAAAUGUAAAAUGCAUGACUCUUAAUUGUAGGGGUGUUUCACAGUAUUCCUCUUUUUACUAAAGUAUACAAUCUGGGUAAAUAAAGAGCAAAUUACCUUUGAAAAAGCUUGUUUAUGUGAUGAAAGGCGUUACACUCUUGAAUUCCUCUCAGGCAUUACAAAAUAAAGCUACACAUGCAUAAGAAUUA
Eleginops maclovinus (Patagonian blennie) is the source of this 1816-nucleotide long non-coding RNA. RefSeq lists it as uncharacterized. NCBI's taxonomy places the organism in Eukaryota, Metazoa, Chordata, Actinopteri, Perciformes, Eleginopidae. The record is from RefSeq and is a predicted model, not a curated record. The transcript has 3 exons.